RNAcentral lists this ribosomal RNA (254 nucleotides) under uncultured bacterium. RNAcentral's name for it is "partial 16S ribosomal RNA". It matches the Rfam family "Bacterial small subunit ribosomal RNA", at positions 524 to 776 of the family's 1533-position model. The record is from RNAcentral.
UACGUAGGGUGCGAGCGUUAAUCGGAAUUACUGGGCGUAAAGCGUGCGCAGGCUGUUUUGUAAGUCAGAUGUGAAAUCCCUGGGCUCAACCUAGGAACUGCGUUUGAAACUACAAGGCUAGAGUGUAGCAGAGGGGGGGUAGAAUUCCACGUGUAGCAGUGAAAUGCGUAGAUAUGUGGAGGAACACCGAUGGCGAAGGCAGCCCCCUGGGUCAAGAUUGACGCUCAUGCACGAAAGCGUGGGGAGCAAACAGG